Dermacentor andersoni is the source of this 2288-nucleotide long non-coding RNA. RefSeq lists it as uncharacterized. NCBI's taxonomy places the organism in Eukaryota, Metazoa, Arthropoda, Arachnida, Ixodida, Ixodidae. The record is from RefSeq and is a predicted model, not a curated record.
UUAGGUUUGGCAUGCUAUCGCGCAUCAACAUCGGACGCUAUGGCACAUUCAUGCCUUUUGUGCCACCCAAGCCCCGAAGUGCUCUGGCAUAUACCUUCACAUGUUUCCCUUCAGUAGGAAAUUGCUAGACCAGCGCACCGGAAUUGUACUGGCGAAUCCACAAGCAAGCCAUAGAAUCUGUGUAAUUGUUGCACUUUGAACAAUCAUGCUUCUACAAAGGCCACAGCAGAAAAACAGCCCGAUUCUGAGUAUUUCUGUGCCACGAAGCAACCAAGAGGCGAGUGCUUAAUAAGGACGGAAUCGAGUGCAUGAACCCACAUAUCAAUAGCGUAGGCGUUUUAUUAACUGUGCAAUAUUUUCAACACUUCCUUGCAUGUCAUUUCAUGUGGCAUAUAUCUUUUCUGGUCACAAAUUUGUGCAGCGAAUCUGUUUGCAUGAUCGACUCCGGGCCUGUGGGGCCGCUCACUUGCGCUUGAUGCCGAGUCUUUUACAUGUAUCCAUAAGCUGCAGAUAUGCACAUCAGAUCCCUACAAGCAUUUUCAAAAUACAAUUAUUUUACACAACACGCACAUGUGCAAUACUGACAAUCUCAAAUACCACUAAGCAGCUGAGACACAUUUUUGUUGAGUAUACUCGCAGGUAAAAUAAGUAGAUCAUGUGGACAGCUCCAGCUCAUUUUCCUUAAUUUAGUGUGUACAAUGAGUAUGCAAAAAUAACUUUUUUUCUCGCGCGCCGAUUAUUUUGCUGUAUAAGCAAGAGAACUCACCACGUUAGUGUAACAUAUGUUCUACAUCACACUAAUAUGCGCUUUAAUUUAUCAAGUGAGAUGAGUUACUAUUAUGGCUCAUUCAGUCCAAUCACACUGCAAGCUACAUUCAUCAAUCUUCUAUUGGAUAUUGCAAAUGUUUAAUGAAACAUGUUUCCCUGUUAUGCAGAUAUGCAAUGGCAAGCCCUUCUGUGUGUUCCAAAGGUAAAAUUUAAGCUCUAAAUUAAAGAAGACAACUCUACUCAAAAACAACAAGCAAAAAUGGUGAAUACAUAGUAUCAGAAGCCCAAGGUACAGAAAUUAUGAGAAGUGUCGAAUGAUUUUAAGAAAGAAUGGUAUUUGAAAAUGCAAGACUCUUUAGUGGAGGUCAAGCAAGUCAAUAUAGGUAGAAUACUCUGCAAAAUUACUCGGGUGAUGGGAUGGCAAACAAUGGGCCAGGAAAUGCGUUGUUUUUCUGCAAAACAAAAGCUGAUGAUUGUCAUUACAUAAGUCACUUUAGCAUCAUGAGGCUGCUGCUUGAUAAAUUCAGAAACAAACCAAAAAACAAGACACGCAAAAAUAAAAAAAAAACAAUUCUCACAUAUACAAAAUAAGGUUCUAUGUAGUUCUCAAUUUAAUGAUGCUCUCUCCACACUGGGAUAAAUAAAAAGAAACGGAUCACAUCUAAUGUAGACAUAUCAGACGCCUUGUGAAAGACUAAAGGAAAAAUUCAGUGUCGAGCUAUGGCACUUGCCGCAUAGAUGUGGGGGGCCUUGCACCAGUAGUGAUAGUUACCACUGCAUUUAGAAAUUGAAAGCAUUCAUGCAGACAAGGAUGAUUCUUUAUAUUUUUGGCUACCACUUCAAAUGCCUCUACCAAGUGUUACAAUGCUGCACGCAGCCAUGCUAAGGAUCUCACAGCAACACUUGCAGGUAAAAAGCAAAAGCAGUCAAAGUGCUGGUGUAUUCUGGACACUAUGUUUGAAAACUUUUAGGCAGAAAGAGUGCAAGAAGCAGACAUAACAACUGCAUUUAUUUCCAUAAUUCCCCAUUUGAAUGGCCUUUUCUUUUUGCUUAGACAAUGCCUACGCCUAGCCACAGCAGCUCCCUCAUGCAGAAUCCGCAAGCCAAGAGGCCGUGGAGGCAAAUGAAGGCAGCCAGCACACCUCGAACCGCCACCUUGACUGCGGGUGUGUCAGCAGAUUCCUGUUGUACAUAUAUAUGCUCAUAAUAAACUUCAGUAAACUUGAACUUGAUAAUAAACUUGAAGGCAAAUGGGACAUUGAUGCAUUGCUUUUUUGAACAUUUAGUGUACACAUAAACGUUAUACUUUGCAGUGCUACAGAGCGUAUUUUGAAGCUUCCCUCUAUAUUUUGCACCUUUAAUUACGUAUGUGUUGUGUGGCCCUCAAUGCAGUUCAUUGUAGCAGCUGCUUUGCCUAUGUAUUGCACAUUGGAUUAAGCUUGUGAUAUCCACAUGUGCAAAAGGCCUAUACUUCUCUCACAUAUACAAAAUAAGGUUCUAUGUAGUUCUCAGUGUUACAA